CUAAGUGAGCUACUUUAAAGCAGCUAUUAGAGCUAACCCGUCUCUGUCGCAAAAGAGUGGGGUGACUUUAAAGUAGAGGUGAUAGACCUACCGAACUUAGAGAUAGCUGGUUUUUUAAGAAAAGAAUUUUAGUUCAGCCCCAAGCCUUUCGUUAAGCAAAAAACCUUCUUAGGCCUGGGAGUCAUUCAUAUAGGGCACAGCCUAUUUGAAACAGGAUACAACCUAGAAUAUAGGGUAAAACAAUGUGAUUUUUCUAUAAGUGGGCUUGAAAGCAGCCACCUUUCAAAAAGCGUUGUAGCUUAUUGAUACUGAUUAUUUAAUAACCUCAAAAAUGUUUAACCCACACACACUAUUAAACUAUCCCAUAAAUUUAUGGGAGCUAUCAUGCUAGAACAAGUAACAAGAAAAAGAUUUUUCUCCAAAAUACAAGCUUUAGCCGCUACAGACAAACUACCGGCA
RNAcentral lists this ribosomal RNA (459 nucleotides) under Boophis quasiboehmei. RNAcentral describes it as "partial 16S ribosomal RNA". It matches the Rfam family "Bacterial large subunit ribosomal RNA", at positions 721 to 1378 of the family's 2925-position model. Lineage: Eukaryota; Metazoa; Chordata; Amphibia; Anura; Mantellidae. The record is from RNAcentral.